This 1455-nucleotide long non-coding RNA is filed under the name Paramuricea clavata. Lineage: Eukaryota; Metazoa; Cnidaria; Anthozoa; Malacalcyonacea; Plexauridae. The record is from RNAcentral.
CGCCUACAAGGCCGCUAUUAGCAUUAUAUUAACAUAUUUAAUCAAUCAGAUUUUAGAUUUUUCGAAUAAAAUUUGCAUUCGUUUUCGUGCUGCAGGUCAACUAUUCACCAUCCAGUAAACGAAAUCGCAGUUUCGACUGCCCGUCCAGAUGACGCGUUCUGCGCUAGCUGAGACUGCAUGGGAUAAUAUGCAUAUAUAUCAAAGUGUUGAACUGUUCAAUCAUCAUUUCAAUUAGUUUCCGCACGGUCAAUUCGCUUUAAAUUAAAAAAUAUAUUCCCUUAGGUGUACCUUGUAUACAAUUAACCAAAAUAAUUAUUCUAGUACAAUAAUGAUUUCAUUUGAACAGUUCAUGAUGUGCAUAUUCUAAUUUUUCCAAUCUCAGCUACAUGUUAUGAUUCAACCCCAAUUUGUUCUCAGCGCAGAACGUGUUAUUUGGAUGCGCAGUCGAAACUCUGAUUUCGUCUACAAUCCUUGACAAAAGUUCUUGUACAAUUCAACGCCCCCCNNNNNNNNNNNNNNNNNNNNACCCCCCCCCCCCCCCCCCCCCCUUCAAUAGUGAGUUUGGGCAGUUCCACGAACGAAACGGCAUAAAACAAAACAUUUAAAUUAAAACAGCAAAGGGGACAGAAAAAAGUUUGAGAUAACCGAAUCAGUGCCAAAUUGAAAAAAAACUCAAUAACAUUCACGUGGUACCCAUGCAUUGAUACGACUUUUACUUGCGAAAUAUAAAAUAACACUAGGUAUCUGAAAAUGAAGGAAUGCAUUCUCCAUUUCAUGAGUUCGUUUUAUGUGCCUGGUUACGCUCCGAACUGAGUUUAAAGUCAUUAGAUUUCGAUUUCUCUAAAAUAUAAGCAAAAAAUUGGAAGAAAAGUAGAACUUAGAAGGGAGGUUUGAUAUUCUACUAACUAAAUCUUGCUUAGUAAAUCUUAUGUCAUGUCUUUUAUCUUCAAAUGGUUCAAUGUCUUUUCAAAGAUGCUAAACAUUGUGUUGUGAAUACCUUAGAUUUUAAGAAUUUCCUAGUGGAAUUAAGUGGAUAGCAUAUAGAUUUGAGUUGUUGUAAGGUUAGGCAAAACAAGUUAGUGACCGAGUUGUGGUAUUCACACAAACAUCAAACAUGCCAUGCAAAUACUUAACAGAAGAUUCACUCAAUCUACAGUAUAAUAUAACGCUGUAUAACCAAGAUAUAUAGCGUAGUCAGAAAUGCAGUCCUAGGGGGAAAAAACACGAAAAUGUUCUGGGCGAGCAUGCUCCCAGACCAUCCCCCUCCUACCAUUACAUACGACACCACACCUAACGUUUGUUACCAACAACCAUCUGUCAUUUCUUGGUCAGUAUAGUAGUACACUGUAAAUUUCACCAAAAAGGUGACAGAAUAACACUUUCGGAGUUGAUUCCACUCCUUGAAAUUGACCCUGAAAUGUACAGUGUAUGGUCCGCGAUCCCUUUCUGUAGAUG